GACGAACGCUGGCGGCGUGCCUAACACAUGCAAGUCGAACGAGAUCCAUGGGAGCUUGCUCCCGGAAGAUCUAGUGGCGAACGGGUGAGUAACACGUGAGAAACCUGCCCUGGAGUGGGGAAUAACUCGGGGAAACUCGAGCUAAUACCGCAUACCCUCGGAUGGUCGCAUGGCCGACCGAGGAAAGAUUUAUCGCUCUAGGAGGGUCUCGCGGCCUAUCAGCUAGUUGGUGGGGUAACGCCUACCAAGGCAACGACGGGUAGCUGGUUUGAGAGAACGAUCAGCCACACUGGGACUGAGACACGGCCCAGACUCCUACGGGAGGCAGCAGUGGGGAAUCUUGCGCAAUGGGCGAAAGCCUGACGCAGCAACGCCGCGUGCGGGAUGACGGCCUUCGUGGUUGUAACCGACUUUCAGCAGGGACGAAAUGACGGUACCUGCAGAAGAAGCCCCGGCUAACUACGUGCCAGCAGCCGCGGUAA
Molecule: ribosomal RNA, 482 nt
Filed under: uncultured bacterium
Lineage: Bacteria
Description: bacterial SSU rRNA
Rfam family: Bacterial small subunit ribosomal RNA
Source: RNAcentral